UACGAAGGGGGCUAGCGUUGCUCGGAAUCACUGGGCGUAAAGGGUGCGUAGGCGGGUCUUUAAGUCAGGGGUGAAAUCCCGAGGCUCAACCUCGGAACUGCCUUUGAUACUGGGGAUCUCGAGUCCGGAAGAGGUUGGUGGAACUCCGAGUGUAGAGGUGAAAUUCGUAGAUAUUCGGAAGAACACCAGUGGCGAAGGCGGCCAACUGGUCCGGUACUGACGCUGAGGUGCGAAAGCGUGGGGAGCAAACAGG
Molecule: ribosomal RNA, 253 nt
Filed under: uncultured bacterium
Lineage: Bacteria
Description: partial 16S ribosomal RNA
Rfam family: Bacterial small subunit ribosomal RNA
Source: RNAcentral